Molecule: ribosomal RNA, 468 nt
Filed under: uncultured bacterium
Lineage: Bacteria
Description: partial 16S ribosomal RNA
Rfam family: Bacterial small subunit ribosomal RNA
Source: RNAcentral
GACGAACGCUGGCGGCGUGCUUAACACAUGCAAGUCGAACGGAAAGGCCCUGCUUUUGUGGGGUGCUCGAGUGGCGAACGGGUGAGUAACACGUGAGUAACCUGCCCUUGACUUUGGGAUAACUUCAGGAAACUGGGGCUAAUACCGGAUAGGAGCUCCUGCUGCAUGGUGGGGGUUGGAAAGUUUCGGCGGUUGGGGAUGGACUCGCGGCUUAUCAGCUUGUUGGUGGGGUAGUGGCUUACCAAGGCUUUGACGGGUAGCCGGCCUGAGAGGGUGACCGGCCACAUUGGGACUGAGAUACGGCCCAGACUCCUACGGGAGGCAGCAGUGGGGAAUAUUGCACAAUGGGCGGAAGCCUGAUGCAGCAACGCCGCGUGCGGGAUGACGGCCUUCGGGUUGUAAACCGCUUUCGCCUGUGACGAAGCGUGAGUGACGGUAAUGGGUGAAGAAGCACCGGCCAACUACGUG